GGACUACCCGGGUAUCUAAUCCUGUUUGCUCCCCACGCUUUCGCGCCUCAGCGUCAGUUCCGGGCCAGUGAGCCGCCUUCGCCACUGGUGUUCUUGCGAAUAUCUACGAAUUUCACCUCUACACUCGCAGUUCCACUCACCUCUCCCGGACUCAAGACAAUCAGUAUCAAAGGCAGUUCCAAGGUUGAGCCUUGGGAUUUCACCCCUGACUUAAUCGCCCGCCUACGCGCCCUUUACGCCCAGUAAAUCCGAACAACGCUAGCCCCCUUCGUAUUACCGCGGCUGCUGGCAC
This 292-nucleotide ribosomal RNA is filed under the name uncultured Alphaproteobacteria bacterium. RNAcentral's name for it is "partial 16S ribosomal RNA". The record is from RNAcentral. Lineage: Bacteria; Pseudomonadati; Pseudomonadota; Alphaproteobacteria.